This 460-nucleotide ribosomal RNA is filed under the name uncultured bacterium. RNAcentral's name for it is "partial 16S ribosomal RNA". It matches the Rfam family "Bacterial small subunit ribosomal RNA", at positions 338 to 795 of the family's 1533-position model. The record is from RNAcentral.
CCUACGGGGGGCAGCAGUGAGGAAUAUUGGUCAAUGGGCGCGAGCCUGAACCAGCCAAGUCGCGUGAGGGAGGACGGCCCUACGGGUUGUAAACCUCUUUUGCCGGGGAGCAACGGGCGUCACGUGUGGCGCCACUGAGAGUGCCCGGAGAAAAAGCAUCGGCUAACUCCGUGCCAGCAGCCGCGGUAAUACGGAGGAUGCGCGCGUUAUACGGAUUUAUUGGGUUUAAGGGGGGCGUAGGCGGAUCGUUAAGUCAGUGGUCAAAUUGAGGGGCUCAACCCCUUCCCGCCAUUGAAACUGGCGUUCUUGAGUGGAAGAGAAGUAUGCGGAAUGCGUGGUGUAGCGGUGAAAUGCAUAGAUAUCACGCAGAACCCCGAUUGCGAAGGCAGCAUGCCGGCUUCCGACUGACGCUGAAGCACGAAAGCGUGGGGAUCGAACAGGAUUAGAUACCCGAGUAGUC